This is an RNA transcript of Nelumbo nucifera (sacred lotus), 2200 nucleotides long. It is a transcript of the gene named origin recognition complex protein 5, with no coding region annotated. Lineage: Eukaryota; Viridiplantae; Streptophyta; Magnoliopsida; Proteales; Nelumbonaceae. The record is from RefSeq and is a predicted model, not a curated record.
GAUAGGAUGUGCGUGUGAGGUCGGUGUGAGGCGCUCUGCGUGAGUAGCAGAUCCGGUCUCGACGACACAACGUACAUUCCCAAUUCGUUCGCUGGAAAAGGAAAAGGGCGGGAAAAUACCCGAUUUUCCAGGGUUAAGGCUUCGCAUCGGCAUUGUUCAUUCUUCGAUCUUCAUUUAGGAAAUACUCGGCUUUCUUCUUCUUUGUCAGAUUGAGAACUUUUUGAAGAAAUGGGUAAAGAGGGAACCCCACAAAUUACCAAGAGAACGACCAGAUCCUCCUCUUCCACUGCAGAUUCCAGUAAUGCAAUUGCAACAAAAACAGUCAAUGCUCCCCGUCCUCCGUCGAUAAUCAGUGAUCUCACAUUUGGAGAAGAGCCAAUGAGCUUGGAUGCUCUACUUUCUAGUUUUCCCGGUAGACGACUUCAGGUUCUUGAGCUUUUGCAGUUGAUAGGUCCCCUGAAUUCUCCCAUGUUUCCUCUUUUCAUCUAUGGUGGUGCUUCUACUGGGAAAAGCAGUGUCGUUCUUCAAGUUUUCAAGCAUCUCAACCGACCUUUUGUUUAUUCAAGCUGUCGUACUUGUUACAGUCCACGUAUCUUGUUUGAAUCCAUGUUAAAUCAGUUGUUGCUUCAUAGGAGGAAUGCAGGCAAUGGUUAUUCCAGCAUGAAACGCUGUGAAAGGCCUGCUGAUUUUGUUAACUUUCUUCGAGAAGCCUUGACUGAUGUAGUAAAUAAUCUCAAGGAGCCUAUAAAGAAAGCAAGCUCAAAGGAGUUGUUGAAACCAGGACAUGGGAGGAUGAUUUAUUUGAUUUUUGAUCAUUUGGAACUUAUCCAAGAGUGGGACAAGAGUUCUGGCAUUAUACUUUUGUUGUUCAACCUCUUUGAUAUCCUGAAGAUGUCUGAAGUGGGUCUGAUAUUUAUCAGCAAUGUAUCCCCUGAUGCCUAUUACUCAAAUACUGGUCAUGUAGAACCCAUUCCUGUUUACUUUCCAGAUUACACAGAAGACAAUCUAUGUCAGAUAUUCAUGAGAAACCAGGCAAAUCCCAAGCUUUUUUCCUCUUUUCUUGAUGUUGUUCUAAGGCCUUUCUGUAGAAUGACUAGACGGGUUGAUGAACUAUCUGCCGCUUUUCCAUUACUAUUUAAAAAAUAUUGCGAACCUUUAAGUGAUUUAGGUCUUGCUCCAACUGAAGACAUGAAGAGGAAACUGUUCAGUCACCUCCAACCCCACAUAGCACCUUCUCUCAAUGAGAUAUUCAGGGUUCAAUAUGAAUCUCGUGUUGAUGUCAAGGCCAAGGAGAAAGUCAGGAGGAAGGGUAAUAUAAGAAAAUUGGGAAUUGAGGAUGCUCUAGAUGAGAUUGAUUUCCACAUGUCUAUAUCCGCAAAAUAUCUUCUUAUUUCUGCAUUUCUUGCUUCAAGAAACCCAGCUACACUUGAUGCGGCGCUGUUUGAUUCAAUGGGGGGUUCUGAUAAUAGAAAGCGUAAGAGAAAGGCUUCUCAAACAUCAAUGGAGAAGAAGGAAAACACAGAGAAUGAAUUGCUUAUGAGAGGACCUGGAACUUUCCCUUUGGAGAGGUUAUUAGCCAUAUUUCAGUGUCUCACAUCAGUGGGAGAAGGUUCACUUGAGGAAGGGCAGAGAGAAGAUGGUGGGGUUAUGGCAGAAGAUGGGGAUGUUGGACUUAUGUCUGAUGUUCUAUUGCAAUUAUCUACCCUCUGCAAUGCUAAUUUCAUAAUGAAAGGUGGAACCUGCCCAUUAGAAGGUUCUACUAGGUACCGAUCUACUGUGAGUGAAGAAAUGGCUUUGAAGGUUGCAAGGAGCUUGAGGUUCCCUUUAUCGAAGUACUUGUACAGACGUUGAUAUGCAAGGUGGUUACAAAUUGUGAUGUGUUUUUAUUAGGUUAACUUUCAAUGUUUCACUCCACCCAUUGUCUAUCAAGAAAAGAUGGAAAAGGUAGUGCCAAUUGAUGCUGGUUAACAUACUGACAUGGAACCGAUGUUCUACAGCCUAUAAUCUCCGUGGUUUUGUGGAGGGUCAAUUACUUCAUUUACUUUGAGAUCUAGAUUGAUACCCCCACCGGCCCACCCCCCUGUUUUAGGGUUGGAUUCAUGUCAGUGGAGGUUCUCUAGAGAUCCAAUUGUCAGUUCAGAAAUUGAUCAUCUCCUGUACCUAUUUCCCAUUGAAGACUAUUGAUCAAAAGUUUAAAACA